UCGCUCCUACCGAUUGAGCGGUCCGGUGAAUUAUUUGGAACGAAGCAGAGCAAUGUUAUGUUGCUGUGAUUUGCGAAAUUUUGUGAACCUUAUCGCUUAGAGGAAGGAA
RNAcentral lists this ribosomal RNA (109 nucleotides) under uncultured eukaryote. RNAcentral describes it as "partial small subunit ribosomal RNA". It matches the Rfam family "Eukaryotic small subunit ribosomal RNA", at positions 1676 to 1785 of the family's 1831-position model. The record is from RNAcentral.